Molecule: long non-coding RNA, 324 nt
Organism: Vitis vinifera (wine grape)
Lineage: Eukaryota; Viridiplantae; Streptophyta; Magnoliopsida; Vitales; Vitaceae
Exons: 4
Source: RefSeq, a predicted model, not a curated record
AAGAAAAAUUUAAAAAACCAAGGCAUUGUGGGAAAUGUAAGAAAGUAGGACACACUGUUCGAAAAUGCCCAGAGUUCGUCAACACUCACAAUGCAUUUAUCAACAUUGAAGAUUCAAUUGAAGAUAUGGGGGACAUGCAUUCAUUACUAAAUCACAACAUGGAAGGUGGAUCAAGACACGGGACAAAUGAAUUUUCUCAAAAUACAACACUUGGCACAUUUCAGAAUCCAGAAACGAGCUUAAAUGAUUCAUGGCUCGGGUUACAUCCACCAAAUUACUUCACAAACCAAGUCACCAUGAACCACUUUACAUCCGGAAUUUUGG